UACAGAGGGGGCGAGCGUUGUUCGGAAUUACUGGGCGUAAAGGGCGCGUAGGCGGCCAACUAAGUCGGACGUGAAAUCCCCUGGCUCAACCAGGGAACUGCGUCCGAUACUGAUUGGCUUGAAUCCGGGAGAGGGAUGUGGAAUUCCAGGUGUAGCGGUGAAAUGCGUAGAUAUCUGGAGGAACACCGGUGGCGAAGGCGGGUCUCUGGGCAUCUCCUGACGCUGAGGCGCGAAAGCGUGGGGAGCAAACAGG
RNAcentral lists this ribosomal RNA (253 nucleotides) under uncultured bacterium. Its description in RNAcentral is "partial 16S ribosomal RNA". It matches the Rfam family "Bacterial small subunit ribosomal RNA", at positions 524 to 776 of the family's 1533-position model. The record is from RNAcentral.